This 619-nucleotide ribosomal RNA is filed under the name Carupa tenuipes. RNAcentral describes it as "partial 16S ribosomal RNA". It matches the Rfam family "Bacterial large subunit ribosomal RNA", at positions 1854 to 2761 of the family's 2925-position model. Lineage: Eukaryota; Metazoa; Arthropoda; Malacostraca; Decapoda; Portunidae. The record is from RNAcentral.
CUAGCCUGCUCAGUGACAUUAAAGGUGUUAAAUAGCCGCGGUAUCCUGACCGUGCAAAGGUAGCAUAAUCAUUAGUUUUUUAAUUGAGAACUUGUAUGAAGGGUUGGACAAAGAAAAAGCUGUCUCUUUAAUUAAGAUUGAAAUUAACCUCUAAGUGAAAAGGCUUAGAUUAUCUAGAGGGACGAUAAGACCCUAUAAAGCUUUAUAAUGUUAAAAAUUCUAUGUAUUUUAUCUUAUAGAAAUGAGUUUUAAACCAUUUAUUGAGUUGGGGCGACAAAGGUAUAAUUUAAAGUAACUGCCGAUAAAUGUUACAAUUAUGUUUGUGUUAAAUAAUGUAUAGUUGAUCCCUUUUAAGGAUUAGGAGAUCAAGUUACUUUAGGGAUAACAGCGUAAUUUCACCUGAGAGUUCUUAUCAAAGGAGAAGUUUGCGACCUCGAUGUUGAAUUAAAAUGUCUUUAUAGUGCAGCAGCUAUAAAAGAAGGUCUGUUCGACCUUUAAUAUUUUACAUGAUUUGAGUUCAGACCGGCGUGAGCCAGGUCGGUUUCUAUCUUCUAGCAAUAAAUGAAGUUGCUUUAGUACGAAAGGAUUAAGCAAUUAAAAUUAUUCUAAAAUUUGAAAU